RNAcentral lists this ribosomal RNA (759 nucleotides) under Erysiphe quercicola. Its description in RNAcentral is "eukaryotic LSU rRNA". It matches the Rfam family "Eukaryotic large subunit ribosomal RNA", at positions 1 to 773 of the family's 3401-position model. Lineage: Eukaryota; Fungi; Ascomycota; Leotiomycetes; Helotiales; Erysiphaceae. The record is from RNAcentral.
UUGACCUCGAAUCAGGUAGGAAUACCCGCUGAACUUAAGCAUAUCAAUAAGCGGAGGAAAAGAAACCAACCGGGAUUACCUCAGUAACGGCGAGUGAAGCGGUAACAGCUCAAAUUUGAAAUCUGGCUCUUGCGGAGUCCGAGUUGUAAUUUGUAGAAGAUGCUUUGGGUUGUGGGUUCGGCCUAAGUUCCUUGGAACAGGACGUCAUAGAGGGUGAGAAUCCCGUAUGUGGCCGAGGCCCGCGCCUAUGUAAAGCUCUUUCAACGAGUCGAGUUGUUUGGGAAUGCAGCUCAAAAUGGGUGGUAAAUUUCAUCUAAAGCUAAAUAUGGGCCAGAGACCGAUAGCGCACAAGUAGAGUGAUCGAAAGAUGAAAAGCACUUUGGAAAGAGAGUUAAACAGUACGUGAAAUUGUUGAAAGGGAAGCGCUUGCAACCAGACUUGGGCGCUGCCGAUCACCUUGAGUUUUCUCGAGUGCACUCGACAGCGCACAGGCCAGCAUCGGUUCGGGUGGCUGGAUAAAGGCCGUAGGAAUGUGGCUCUCUUCGGGGAGUGUUAUAGCCUACGGUGCCAUGCAGCCCAGCCGGACCGAGGACCGCGCCUUCGGGCUAGGAUGCUGGCGUAAUGGUUGUAAGCGACCCGUCUUGAAACACGGACCAAGGAGUCUAACAUCUAUGCGAGUGUUUGGGUGGUAAACCCAUACGCGGAAUGAAAGUGAACGUAGGUGAGAACCCCUUUGGGGCGCAUCAUCGACCGAUCCUG